AUACGGAGGAUGCAAGCGUUAUCCGGAUUUAUUGGGUUUAAAGGGUGCGUAGGCGGGGCAGCAAGUCAGUGGUGAAAUCUUUCGGCUUAACCGAAAAAUUACCGUUGAAACUGUUGUCCUUGAGUAUAUUUGGAGUGGGCGGAAUGUGUCAUGUAGCGGUGAAAUGCUUAGAUAUGACACAGAACACCAAUCGCGAAGGCAGCUCACUAAACUAUAACUGACGCUGAAGCACGAAAGCGUGGGGAUCAAACAGGAUUAGAUACCCUGGUAGUCCACGCCGUAAACGAUGAUCACUCGAUGUUGGCGAUACACUGUCAGCGUCUGAGCGAAAGCAUUAAGUGAUCCACCUGGGGAGUACGAUCGCAAGGUUGAA
Molecule: ribosomal RNA, 373 nt
Filed under: uncultured bacterium
Lineage: Bacteria
Description: bacterial SSU rRNA
Rfam family: Bacterial small subunit ribosomal RNA
Source: RNAcentral